RNAcentral lists this ribosomal RNA (460 nucleotides) under uncultured bacterium. Its description in RNAcentral is "partial 16S ribosomal RNA". It matches the Rfam family "Bacterial small subunit ribosomal RNA", at positions 338 to 795 of the family's 1533-position model. The record is from RNAcentral.
CCUACGGGUGGCAGCAGUGAGGAAUAUUGGUCAAUGGGCUGGAGCCUGAACCAGCCAAGUCGCGUGAGGGAAGACGGUCCUAUGGAUUGUAAACCUCUUUAGGCGGGGAGCAAUGCCGGGCACGCGUGCCCGGAGGGCAAGUACCCGCAGAAUAAGCCUCGGCUAACUCCGUUCCAGCAGCAGAGGUAAUACGGAGGUUGCGAGCGUUAUCCGGUUUUAUGGGGUUUACAGGGUGAGUAAGCGGAUUUUUAAGUCAGCGGUAAAAUGUCCGGGCUCAACCCGGGCCGGCCGUUGAAACUGGGGAUCUUGAGUGGGCGAGAAGUAUGCGGAAUGAGUGGUGUAGCGGUGAAAUGCAUAGAUAUCACGCAGAACUCCGAUUGCGAAGGCAUCAUACCGGCGCCCGACUGACGCUGAGGCACGAAAGCGUGGGGAUCGAACAGGAUUAGAUACCCUAGUAGUC